AGGAAUCACCAAGGCCUCCUGCCAAGUCACCUAAAGUUGAUGAAAUCCAAACAGCAGAUAGGUUUAAGACAAGGAGGAGGAGAUCCAUUUAGUUUCUGAAGUUUUGAUCGUUCAUGGGAAAUUAUUCGGCUAUUUACCCUCUUCCAAGAAACACACAAGGUCAGAUGCUGGCAUUGUUUGAAGGGAGGUAAUUCCGAGAACAA
RNAcentral lists this unclassified non-coding RNA (203 nucleotides) under Hevea brasiliensis (rubber tree). Lineage: Eukaryota; Viridiplantae; Streptophyta; Magnoliopsida; Malpighiales; Euphorbiaceae. The record is from RNAcentral.